RNAcentral lists this ribosomal RNA (460 nucleotides) under uncultured bacterium. Its description in RNAcentral is "partial 16S ribosomal RNA". It matches the Rfam family "Bacterial small subunit ribosomal RNA", at positions 338 to 795 of the family's 1533-position model. The record is from RNAcentral.
CCUACGGGCGGCAGCAGUGAGGAAUAUUGGUCAAUGGGCGCGAGCCUGAACCAGCCAAGUAGCGUGAAGGAUGACUGCCCUACGGGUUGUAAACUUCUUUUAUAAAGGAAUAAAGUGAGGCACGUGUGCCUUUUUGUAUGUACUUUAUGAAUAAGGAUCGGCUAACUCCGUGCACGCAGCAGCGGUAAUACGGGGGUUCGGGGGGUUUUCCGGAUUUAUUGGGUUUAAAGGGAGCGGAGAUGGGUUGUUAAGUAAGUUGUGAAAGUGUGCGGCUCAACCGUAAAAUUGCAUUUGAUACUGGCAGUCUUGAGUACAGUUGAGGUAGGCGGAAUUCGUGGUGUAGCGGUGAAAUGCUUAGAUAUCACGAAGAACUCCGAUUGCGAAGGCAGCUUACUAAACUGCCACUGACAUUGAUGCUCGAAAGUGUGGGUAUCAAACAGGAUUAGAUACCCGUGUAGUC